Molecule: ribosomal RNA, 2901 nt
Filed under: Proteus mirabilis
Lineage: Bacteria; Pseudomonadati; Pseudomonadota; Gammaproteobacteria; Enterobacterales; Morganellaceae
Description: bacterial LSU rRNA
Rfam family: Bacterial large subunit ribosomal RNA
Source: RNAcentral
UUAAGCGAAUAAGCGUACACGGUGGAUGCCUAGGCAAUCAGAGGCGAUGAAGGACGUGCUAAUCUGCGAAAAGCGUCGGUAAGGUGAUAUGAACCGUUAUACCCGACGAUAUCCGAAUGGGGAAACCCAGUAUCCAAUGGAUACUAUCAUUAACUGAAUCCAUAGGUUAAUGAGGCGAACCGGGAGAACUGAAACAUCUCAGUACCCCGAGGAAAAGAAAUCAACCGAGAUUCCCCUAGUAGCGGCGAGCGAACGGGGAGCAGCCCAGAGUCUUAAUCAAUAGCAGUGUCAGGAGAACGGUCUGGAAAGUCCGGCAGUAAAGGGUGAUAGCCCCGUAUCUGAAGAUGUUGUUAUUGUGAACUCGACGAGUAGGGCGGGACACGUGUUAUCCUGUCUGAAUAUGGGGGGACCAUCCUCCAAGGCUAAAUACUCCUGAUUGACCGAUAGUGAACCAGUACCGUGAGGGAAAGGCGAAAAGAACCCCGGCGAGGGGAGUGAAAAAGAACCUGAAACCGUGUACGUACAAGCAGUAGGAGCCUCUUUAUGGGGUGACUGCGUACCUUUUGUAUAAUGGGUCAGCGACUUAUAUUCUGUAGCAAGGUUAACCGUAUAGGGGAGCCGUAGGGAAACCGAGUCUUAACUGGGCGAAUGAGUUGCAGGGUAUAGACCCGAAACCCGGUGAUCUAUCCAUGGGCAGGUUGAAGGUUGGGUAACACUAACUGGAGGACCGAACCGACUAAUGUUGAAAAAUUAGCGGAUGACUUGUGGAUGGGGGUGAAAGGCCAAUCAAACCGGGAGAUAGCUGGUUCUCCCCGAAAGCUAUUUAGGUAGCGCCUCGUGAACUCAUCUUCGGGGGUAGAGCACUGUUUCGACUAGGGGGUCAUCCCGACUUACCAACUCGAUGCAAACUGCGAAUACCGAAGAAUGUUAUCACGGGAGACACACGGCGGGUGCUAACGUCCGUCGUGAAGAGGGAAACAACCCAGACCGCCAGCUAAGGUCCCAAAGUCAUGGUUAAGUGGGAAACGAAGUGGGAAGGCUCAGACAGCCAGGAUGUUGGCUUAGAAGCAGCCAUCAUUUAAAGAAAGCGUAAUAGCUCACUGGUCGAGUCGGCCCGCGCGGAAGAUGUAACGGGGCUAAACCAUGCACCGAAGCUGCGGCAGCGACACAAAGUGUUGUUGGGUAGGGGAGCGUUCUGUAAGCCUGCGAAGGUGUACUGUGAGGUAUGCUGGAGGUAUCAGAAGUGCGAAUGCUGACAUAAGUAACGAUAAUGCGGGUGAAAAACCCGCACGCCGGAAGACCAAGGGUUCCUGUCCAACGUUAAUCGGGGCAGGGUGAGUCGACCCCUAAGGCGAGGCUGAAAAGCGUAGUCGAUGGGAAACGGGUUAAUAUUCCCGUACUGGUGGUAACUGCGAUGGGGGAACGGAGAAGGCUAGGUUGUCCGGGCGACGGUCGUCCCGGUUCAAGCAGGUAGGCAGAGUGAUUAGGCAAAUCCGGUCACUUAAUGCUGAGAUGUGAUGACGAACCACUAAGGUGGUGAAGCAAUUGAUGCCACGCUUCCAGGAAAAGCCUCUAAGCUUCAGGUUACCAACAAUCGUACCCCAAACCGACACAGGUGGUCAGGUAGAGAAUACUCAGGCGCUUGAGAGAACUCGGGUGAAGGAACUAGGCAAAAUGGUGCCGUAACUUCGGGAGAAGGCACGCUGGCGGUAGGUAAAGUCCCUCGCGGACGGCGCUGAAGCCAGUCGAAGAUACCAGCUGGCUGCAACUGUUUAUUAAAAACACAGCACUGUGCAAACACGAAAGUGGACGUAUACGGUGUGACGCCUGCCCGGUGCUGGAAGGUUAAUUGAUGGGGUCAGCCGUAAGGCGAAGCUCCUGAUCGAAGCCCCAGUAAACGGCGGCCGUAACUAUAACGGUCCUAAGGUAGCGAAAUUCCUUGUCGGGUAAGUUCCGACCUGCACGAAUGGCGUAAUGAUGGCCAGGCUGUCUCCACCCGAGACUCAGUGAAAUUGAACUCGCUGUGAAGAUGCAGUGUACCCGCGGCAAGACGGAAAGACCCCGUGAACCUUUACUAUAGCUUGACACUGAACAUUGAGCCUUGAUGUGUAGGAUAGGUGGGAGGCUUUGAAGUGUGGACGCCAGUCUGCAUGGAGCCAACCUUGAAAUACCACCCUUUAACGUUUGAUGUUCUAACCUAGGCCCAUAAACUGGGUCGGGGACCGUGUCUGGUGGGUAGUUUGACUGGGGCGGUCUCCUCCUAAAGAGUAACGGAGGAGCACGAAGGUUGGCUAAGCAUGGUCGGACAUCAUGCGGUUAGUGCAAAGGCAUAAGCCAGCUUGACUGCGAGAGUGACGGCUCGAGCAGGUACGAAAGUAGGUCUUAGUGAUCCGGUGGUUCUGAAUGGAAGGGCCAUCGCUCAACGGAUAAAAGGUACUCCGGGGAUAACAGGCUGAUACCGCCCAAGAGUUCAUAUCGACGGCGGUGUUUGGCACCUCGAUGUCGGCUCAUCACAUCCUGGGGCUGAAGUAGGUCCCAAGGGUAUGGCUGUUCGCCAUUUAAAGUGGUACGCGAGCUGGGUUUAGAACGUCGUGAGACAGUUCGGUCCCUAUCUGCCGUGGGCGUUGGAAGAUUGAGAGGGGUUGCUCCUAGUACGAGAGGACCGGAGUGAACGCACCACUGGUGUUCGGGUUGUCAUGCCAAUGGCAUUGCCCGGUAGCUAAGUGCGGAAGAGAUAACCGCUGAAAGCAUCUAAGCGGGAAACUUGCCUCGAGAUGAGUCUUCCCUGUCGCUUUAAGCGACCUAAAGGAACGUUUAAGACUAAGACGUUGAUAGGCUGGGUGUGUAAGCGUAGCGAUACGUUGAGCUAACCAGUACUAAUGAACCGUGAGGCUUAACCUG